CUACGGGUCGCUCCAGUGGGGAAUAUUGCACAAUGGGCGCAAGCCUGAUGCAGCCAUGCCGCGUGUAUGAAGAAGGCCUUCGGGUUGUAAAGUACUUUCAGCGGGGAGGAAGGGAGUAAAGUUAAUACCUUUGCUCACUGACGUUACCCGCAGAAGAAGCACCGGCUAACUCCGUGCCAGCAGCCGCGGUAAUACGGAGGGUGCAAGCGUUAAUCGGAAUUACUGGGCGUAAAGCGCACGCAGGCGGUUUGUUAAGUCAGGUGUGAAAUCCCCGGGCUCAACCUGGGAACUGCAUCUGAUACUGGCUAGCUUGAGUCUCGUAGAGGGGGGUAGAAUUCCAGGUGUAGCGGUGAAAUGCGUAGAGAUCUGGAGGAAUACCGGUGGCGAAGGCGGCCCCCUGGACGAAGACUGACGCUCAGGUGCGAAAGCGUGGGGAGCAAACAGGAUUAGAUACCCGAGUAGUC
RNAcentral lists this ribosomal RNA (464 nucleotides) under uncultured bacterium. RNAcentral's name for it is "partial 16S ribosomal RNA". It matches the Rfam family "Bacterial small subunit ribosomal RNA", at positions 339 to 795 of the family's 1533-position model. The record is from RNAcentral.